Molecule: ribosomal RNA, 494 nt
Filed under: uncultured bacterium
Lineage: Bacteria
Description: partial 16S ribosomal RNA
Rfam family: Bacterial small subunit ribosomal RNA
Source: RNAcentral
GACGAACGCUGGCGGCGUGCCUAAUACAUGCCAGUAGAACGCUGAAGGAGGAGCUUGCUUCUCUGGAUGAGUUGCGAACGGGUGAGUAACGCGUAGGUAACCUGCCUGGUAGCGGGGGAUAACUAUUGGAAACGAUAGCUAAUACCGCAUACAGUAGAUAUCGCAUGAUAUCUACUUGAAAGGUGCAAUUGCAUCACUACCAGAUGGACCUGCGUUGUAUUAGCUAGUUGGUGAGGUAACGGCUCACCAAGGCGACGAUACAUAGCCGACCUGAGAGGGUGAUCGGCCACACUGGGACUGAGACACGGCCCAGACUCCUACGGGAGGCAGCAGUAGGGAAUCUUCGGCAAUGGACGGAAGUCUGACCGAGCAACGCCGCGUGAGUGAAGAAGGUUUUCGGAUCGUAAAGCUCUGUUGUAAGAGAAGAACGAGUGUGAGAGUGGAAAGUUCACACUGUGACGGUAUCUUACCAGAAAGGGACGGCUAACUACGUG